UAGCAAGUUUCUCUACCCUACAGUCAUGGC
This 30-nucleotide non-coding RNA is filed under the name Rattus norvegicus (Norway rat). The record is from RNAcentral. Lineage: Eukaryota; Metazoa; Chordata; Mammalia; Rodentia; Muridae.